RNAcentral lists this transfer RNA (87 nucleotides) under Desulfovibrio sp. RNAcentral describes it as "tRNA-Leu". It matches the Rfam family "tRNA". From Rfam's summary of the family: Transfer RNA (tRNA) molecules are approximately 80 nucleotides in length. RNAcentral also lists the same sequence under 1 other name. The record is from RNAcentral. Lineage: Bacteria; Pseudomonadati; Thermodesulfobacteriota; Desulfovibrionia; Desulfovibrionales; Desulfovibrionaceae.
GCCAGGGUGGCGGAAUUGGUAGACGCAGCGGAUUCAAAAUCCGCCGGCCUCACGGCCGUCGGGGUUCAAGUCCCCGCCUUGGUACCA